UUUUUCACUUGUUGGCAUGCUAGGAGUUUCUCAACAAGUGAAGCUAUAUCUUUCUUCAUACCUUCCCACUAGAAUUUGUCUAUUCAAGUCUUGGUAUAUUUUGUGCUUCCCUGGUGGCUAGUAUAUGAUGUGUCAUGAGCCUCGCUCAUUAUCUCAUCUUUGAGUUUCUCAUAGUGUGGGAUACACAAUCUUUCUUCAAUCAUUAACGCAGCAUCCGACGUCUAGUGGUAACGUCCAGGCUUGCCUAUUCCUAUUGAUAAUGUAUUCUCUCCAAGGUCUCAUUCUCUUCUUUUUUUUUUUUUUUUUUUUUCGCAUUAUCAGCUUUCCUAUAAAGUUGGGUGUUAUUACCAUCGUGGCAAUAAUCCUUUCUACAGAUUCUAGUGGUUGAACCACUUCUAAAUUCAUUCUACUAAAAUCUUUCAUGGGUUCCUCUUCCUAAGUAAGGGGAGAUCCCAACUUAAGUUGAGUCUUACGACUCAAGGAGUCGUCUACCUUGUUAGCUUUGCCUGGGUGGUAGUUAAUACUACAGUCGCGGUCCUGCGCUAGUUCGAGCCAUCUUUACUGUCUCAUGUUAAGAUCUUCUUGCUCGAAAAAGUAUUUCAAACUUUUAUGGUCUUUACUGCAGUUAAUUCUAGUUUAUGAGUUGGCUAGUUCAAUUCAUGUGGUUAAUGCUAUCGUGAUGCGUAUGUUGUCACUCUUCCUUCUUGCGUUAACAU
Molecule: long non-coding RNA, 716 nt
Filed under: Salvia miltiorrhiza (redroot sage)
Lineage: Eukaryota; Viridiplantae; Streptophyta; Magnoliopsida; Lamiales; Lamiaceae
Description: long non-coding RNA (SMIL_LNC001294)
Source: RNAcentral